Molecule: long non-coding RNA, 1075 nt
Organism: Neolamprologus brichardi
Lineage: Eukaryota; Metazoa; Chordata; Actinopteri; Cichliformes; Cichlidae
Source: RefSeq, a predicted model, not a curated record
AAAGAAAACAACAGAACGCACAGAGCACACGCAGAGGGAAAGAAACAACAACGCUAGCUCCUCUGAGGCCUCGAAGUCUGAUGUUUAAAUGUUGCCUUUUUCCUAACAGGAAGAAAUCAAUAGGUCCCGAGGCAAGACAGACACACGGUGACUGCUUAUAUACGAGCGGAGAGAACGGAGGACGGAGAUGGAAAUGGAGGAAAAACAGAAGGAGCGAGCAGAAAUUAACGGCGAAGACGCUGGCACCCGUGGCACCUCGGCUUAACUCUGGGAAACAGUCUGUUUUUACUGGAAACAGCCCCCCACCCCCAUUGUCUUCCGGCGCGGCCGUUCAGAGCAGCGAUCAACACUUUCAGCUUUAGACAACCCGCCAUGCAAACUAUGCCUACGUGAAGCAUAACCUACCCUGAAGGCUUGUCACCUAAAGAAGAAGCAUGACAAGUUGACAGCAGCGAGAUGAGAAACAAGCAGCUUGACCCAGGGCAAGCAGCCUACUAUUAAUUAUAAAGGCACUUGCACGCGACAGCCACCUGACACAUCAAAAAUUACUUUGGACUACAUGUCCACAAGAUGUCAUUAAUUACACCAGCACAAGGGGGGAUGCUGUUGAACUAGUGCUAAUGACGACAGAGUAAUUUAAGAAAUCAGCGCCGCCUGCGUUACUGAAACGAUGUCAUUACCUCAUCAAGCGUCGCCUUUAGUUUUGGACGUCUGCUGGCUACCCUUUAAUCCCAGCGGCACAUGCAAAGUAUUAAGUUAUGUGUGAGAGGCUGCUUGGAACAACUUGGGCAAAAUUAAACGUUGUGCAUGUCGCCCUGAUUGAGGCUGCCUACCAGCGACCUGAAGUUGGUGCGUGCGUUUCAUGUCAAACACAUAAUUUAAAGACUCGGCUCAAGCUGGAGAGGGUACUCUUGAUACAAAAAUGCUACACGGUGUUAAAGUUGCUGUAGCCCAUUUCAACUAUAGUAACUGUCAGGUUCACACCUUCCUUCUUGGACUCUACUAUUCAUCAUCCAGGGCCUUCCUGCACCAGUGGAUCCGUGCAUGAUGUCUGACACGAGCUCCGCUCACUUUA